CAAGACGUAGCUAUAACAAAAGCAUUCAGCUUACACCUGAAAGAUAUCUGCAACACCACACAGAUCGUCUUGA
This 73-nucleotide transfer RNA is filed under the name Apus apus (common swift). RNAcentral describes it as "transfer RNA-Val". Lineage: Eukaryota; Metazoa; Chordata; Aves; Apodiformes; Apodidae. The record is from RNAcentral.